AUGGCAUCGUGUCUCUGUCGAUCCCUCAGAUCGACAACAUUAGGGUUCAUGGAUGGUGUUGACGAGGCGGCGGCGGCGACUCCAUCAGGUGUGUCUCUCCUUCUGCUCUGUCCCCGUUGCUGUGGCAUUGUCCCCGACGUCAUGGUGGAGCAGAGAGGUUUUGUGGUUCAGGAGUACGCGCAGGCGAUUGUCUACGCAGGUGACAGCUGGAAGAUGGAGUAUCUUGUGUUGGGUCUGUGGUCGAAGGCGGGCAGUUCUAGUUUCCUUCUCCGACGUCGUCGUCAUGCGAGGGUGUCAGUUCUGAAGUUUGAUGGUGUGUCCGGGGACAUGUUGCCCCGGUCUGAUUCUUUCAACGGUUAUGGUUUUGCUUUUGGCAAACUACUUUAA
This 387-nucleotide ribosomal RNA is filed under the name Triticum aestivum (bread wheat). RNAcentral describes it as "partial small subunit ribosomal RNA". Lineage: Eukaryota; Viridiplantae; Streptophyta; Magnoliopsida; Poales; Poaceae. The record is from RNAcentral.